GACGCUAUGGCAUAGUGGUCGUGCAUGGGCCUUUUAAGCCUAGGACCUUGGUUCGAUUCCAAGUGGCGUCACCA
Molecule: transfer RNA, 74 nt
Filed under: Candidatus Saccharimonadota bacterium
Lineage: Bacteria; Candidatus Saccharimonadota
Description: tRNA-Lys
Rfam family: tRNA
About the family: Transfer RNA (tRNA) molecules are approximately 80 nucleotides in length. Their secondary structure includes four short double-helical elements and three loops (D, anti-codon, and T loops). Further hydrogen bonds mediate the characteristic L-shaped molecular structure. tRNAs have two regions of fundamental functional importance: the anti-codon, which is responsible for specific mRNA codon recognition, and the 3' end, to which the tRNAs corresponding amino acid is attached (by aminoacyl-tRNA synthetases). tRNAs cope with the degeneracy of the genetic code in two manners: having more than one tRNA (with a specific anti-codon) for a particular amino acid; and 'wobble' base-pairing, i.e. permitting non-standard base-pairing at the 3rd anti-codon position.
Source: RNAcentral